AGAGUUUGAUCCUGGCUCAGGACGAACGCUGGCGGCGUGCCUAAUACAUGCAAGUAGAACGCUGAAGAGAGGAGCUUGCUCUUCUUGGAUGAGUUGCGAACGGGUGAGUAACGCGUAGGUAACCUGCCUUGUAGCGGGGGAUAACUAUUGGAAACGAUAGCUAAUACCGCAUAACAAUGGAUGACACAUGUCAUUUAUUUGAAAGGGGCAAUUGCUCCACUACAAGAUGGACCUGCGUUGUAUUAGCUAGUAGGUGAGGUAAUGGCUCACCUAGGCGACGAUACAUAGCCGACCUGAGAGGGUGAUCGGCCACACUGGGACUGAGACACGGCCCAGACUCCUACGGGAGGCAGCAGUAGGGAAUCUUCGGCAAUGGGGGCAACCCUGACCGAGCAACGCCGCGUGAGUGAAGAAGGUUUUCGGAUCGUAAAGCUCUGUUGUAAGUCAAGAACGGGUGUGAGAGUGGAAAGUUCACACUGUGACGGUAGCUUACCAGAAAGGGACGGCUAACUACGUGCCAGCAGCCGCGGUAAUACGUAGGUCCCGAGCGUUGUCCGGAUUUAUUGGGCGUAAAGCGAGCGCAGGCGGUUUGAUAAGUCUGAAGUUAAAGGCUGUGGCUCAACCAUAGUUCGCUUUGGAAACUGUCAAACUUGAGUGCAGAAGGAGAGAGUGGAAUUCCAUGUGUAGCGGUGAAAUGCGUAGAUAUAUGGAGGAACACCGGUGGCGAAAGCGGCUCUCUGGUCUGUAACUGACGCUGAGGCUCGAAAGCGUGGGGAGCGAACAGGAUUAGAUACCCUGGUAGUCCACGCCGUAAACGAUGAGUGCUAGGUGUUGGAUCCUUUCCGGGAUUCAGUGCCGCAGCUAACGCAUUAAGCACUCCGCCUGGGGAGUACGACCGCAAGGUUGAAACUCAAAGGAAUUGACGGGGGCCCGCACAAGCGGUGGAGCAUGUGGUUUAAUUCGAAGCAACGCGAAGAACCUUACCAGGUCUUGACAUCCCGAUGCUAUUUCUAGAGAUAGAAAGUUACUUCGGUACAUCGGUGACAGGUGGUGCAUGGUUGUCGUCAGCUCGUGUCGUGAGAUGUUGGGUUAAGUCCCGCAACGAGCGCAACCCCUAUUGUUAGUUGCCAUCAUUCAGUUGGGCACUCUAGCGAGACUGCCGGUAAUAAACCGGAGGAAGGUGGGGAUGACGUCAAAUCAUCAUGCCCCUUAUGACCUGGGCUACACACGUGCUACAAUGGUUGGUACAACGAGUUGCGAGUCGGUGACGGCGAGCUAAUCUCUUAAAGCCAAUCUCAGUUCGGAUUGUAGGCUGCAACUCGCCUACAUGAAGUCGGAAUCGCUAGUAAUCGCGGAUCAGCACGCCGCGGUGAAUACGUUCCCGGGCCUUGUACACACCGCCCGUCACACCACGAGAGUUUGUAACACCCGAAGUCGGUGAGGUAACCUUUUGGAGCCAGCCGCCUAAGGUGGGACAGAUGAUUGGGGUGAAGUCGUAACAAGGUA
Molecule: ribosomal RNA, 1506 nt
Filed under: metagenome
Description: bacterial SSU rRNA
Rfam family: Bacterial small subunit ribosomal RNA
Source: RNAcentral